This 292-nucleotide ribosomal RNA is filed under the name uncultured bacterium. RNAcentral's name for it is "partial 16S ribosomal RNA". The record is from RNAcentral.
GGACUACCCGGGUAUCUAAUCCUGUUUGCUCCCCACGCUCUCGCGCCUCAGUGUCAGUAUCAUGCCAGGUAGCCGCCUUCGCCACUGGUGUUCCUUCCGAUAUCUACGCAUUUCACCGCUACACCGGAAAUUCCACUACCCUCUCAUGUACUCCAGUUACCCAGUAUAAGAUGCAGUUCCCAGGUUGAGCCCGGGGCUUUCACAUCUCACUUAAAUAACCACCUACGCGCCCUUUACGCCCAGUAAAUCCGAUUAACGCUUGCACCCUCUGUAUUACCGCGGCUGCUGGCAC